UCGCCGUUAUCUACGAGAUCCUUCAAUGUCUACUCUCAUUUAUACUUGUCUCUGUAAUCCGUAUAUACUUGUAGAAAAUACUUUAAAACAAUAUAGGGCAUUUCGGUUCUUAUCAAAUCAUAUAAUUUCUUUUCGAUAACAGUAAAUUCAAGUAACAGUAAAACAGAUCUAGUGACAACGAAAAUAUUUAAUACCAUGAUAUUCAUCUCAAAUAACUAUUUCGGUAUCAUAACGAGUAAAAUACUUGUCUCACAUGCAACUUAAAAUAAUCGGUAACAUAUCCAUAUUAAAAAUCAUGUGUAAAUCAUGCAAGUUAUGAAAACACAAAUUGCGGUAAGAUUACAACUCACAGUACUCGUGCCGAAAUACCAACUGCUUCACCUCAAGUAACUCGUACAAAUUCCUCCAAUCAAUCUAUAAUUACAUAAUAUCGGUCUCAUGUUAAUUUUAUUAUUUAGGCUAAUUCAUAGUUAUUUUAGAAUACCCAACCCUCGAGGUUUCAUGUUUGACUCUUAUUUUGCCUAGAAUAAUUCUUAUUGGUAUUUAAUUUCGUAUACCUUGUGAAACCCUUCAAAUAUAUGAACUGGGAUAAAAAGAAUUAUUAGAAGAAAAUAACCCAGAUGAAAAAUUCGAGUGUUACCCGUAAAGACCAAUGCGUAUUUAAAAUUUCUCGUUCCAGCCUUUUUCUUCUUCUUCUUCUCUUCCUUUUGAAACCCCUUUUCUGGGUUUUUCUGAAGCAGACCGUAUUCGUUUUUCUGAAGCAGACUUAUUUCCCCCUUUCUCUUUUUCGUUGCUUUUUAUGUGCUUU
This 808-nucleotide long non-coding RNA is filed under the name Nicotiana tabacum (common tobacco). RNAcentral's name for it is "long non-coding RNA (NTAB_LNC002339)". The record is from RNAcentral. Lineage: Eukaryota; Viridiplantae; Streptophyta; Magnoliopsida; Solanales; Solanaceae.